Molecule: non-coding RNA, 5268 nt
Organism: Oryctolagus cuniculus (rabbit)
Lineage: Eukaryota; Metazoa; Chordata; Mammalia; Lagomorpha; Leporidae
Source: RefSeq, a predicted model, not a curated record
GGCCUCUCCCCAGCCCAUUCUCUUCUGCAGCCUGCGUUCCAGUUCCAAGGCCCCAGCCCGGAGUCUCCUGAUCAGGAGACAGAGGCCUGAGGGACAGGGUUCUCCACGCUGCCCCCACCCCAUGGAGGGGCUCAGCAGGGGUUCCCGUCCAUCCCCCACCUGGGCUCAUCCACCUGACUCAGCGCCAGGGCUGCUGGGGCGGGGAGGUGUAGCCCUCUUGCUGCUCUCUCAUCACAGCAAAGGAUCAAAGCCUUGACCCUGACUUCUUCUGACUUUAUCUCAACCCAGCGACUCAGCGCAGCCCUGGAUGGUUAUCGGUGACUCCCUGCCUUCAUCAGCCUCCCCACAAGCAUCAGUGUGACCUUGGUCUGUCCAGUGUUUCACACCAGCCCUCGGCUCAUGUUUGCACUUCUCCCUCGGAGGCCUGGCACAGCUUGCAGCCUCCCUGCCUCCCUCUGCUCCCCCAGGGAACCCCCACCCCCAGGGACCUGGGCUGCAGGAACCCAGCCCCUGGCCUCCCCUGCAGCUCUAGCUCUCCCAUGUCUUUCAGCCCAGCUCCGGGUAUGACCCCUUCCCAGGAACCACCAGGGUCCCCGCAUUGGCAUCUCCGCAUCUCCAGAGCCCUUGCUCCUCCCGCACGGCGCUGCCAGUGGGACAGGGUCUUCCUUGCAACCUGCACCUAGCACAGCUGCUGGCACACCGGAGGUGCUCAGCAGCCGUCUGGGAAAAGGAGGGGAAGGGUGGGGAGGGGAGGGGAGGGGAGAAGGGAGAGACAAGAAGGGAAAGAAGGUGGAGAAAAAUGAGACUCCUGGGCUUGUCAUUCAAGGAUCUUUGAACCCGAUUCUUCCCAGGCUCCUUUCUUGUCACCCUCCAGCCCAGCUGCACGCCUUGCAGCGCCCGGGGCCCAGUGCACUCCUGUGCAUCUCAGACGCUCAGAUCCUGUGCAUCUCUGGCUCCUGCCUGCAACCCGGAAGCCCCUCGCCCUCCUGCUCCCCCUCUAUGUAGUGCACUUCCGUUCACCUCUGCUCACUGACUUCCCCAUUCCAAAUAGUUCCGUCCCCUCCCUUGCCCUCCACAGGCUCCUCCCCAGCUUCAGUCCCCACCACAGCCCCUGGCCCCACCCGUCCUGUCACCCAGCCUUCUGUCUUGCUGCAGUUUGAUUCCACCACAUGCAUACAAGUUCCUUGAAGGGAGGAUUGGCAUCUGUUCUCUUCACUGCUGUCUCCCCAGCUCCCAGAACAGCCUUGCAAUGAGGAGUUCAAUGGGCCCCAAGGAAGUCAGUUCCCGGCCUGUGUCACCCUGCACCUGGUUUCCCAGUUGUAUCAGCACUGGAUGACAAGGGUGCCUCAGCCCAGGUUCCUUCCAUAAAGAACUUAAGGGCACAGAAGGUAAGAUGCCAGCGUCGUACAUCAGAGUGUCUGGGUCUGACGCCUGUGCCCAUCGGGGUGUCUGGGUCCGACGCCUGGCUCCAGCUCCAGCUCCAGCUCCAGCUGCCUGCUGACGCACACCCUGGGAGGCAGCACGGGUAGCUCAAGUACUUGGGAGACCUGGAUUGUGUUCCCAGCUCCCAGCUUUGGGCUGGCUGGGCUGAUGUGGGCAUUUGGGGGCAUGAACCGGUGAAUGGGAGCUCUCUGUCUCGCAAAUAAUUAAUUAAAAAAAAACUUGAGGCAAAAAAUUAAGGGGCACAAUUCUAGGCAAGCAGGAGGAUGGAGAUAGAGAAAUGAGGCAGGGAAGAGGGUACAAAUGUGAAAGUACUUUAACAAGUUCGAGAGGAAAUGGGCAUUAAGAACAAAGUUUAUUUUGUUGCAAACAGGUUGAAAUCCACACCCAGGUUUUCUUUUCUUUCUUAAAGAUUUAUUUAUUUAUUUGAGAAGUAGAGUUACAGACAGAGAGGUCUUCCAUCUACUGGCUCACUCCCCAAAUGGCCUCAAUUGCCGGAGCUGAGCCUAUCCGAAGCCAGGAGCCAGGAGCUUCCUCUGGGUCUCCCACAUGGGUGCAGGGGCUCAAACACUUGGGCCACCUUGUACUGCUAUCUCAGGCCAUAGCAGAGAGCUGGAUUGGAAGAGGAGCAGCCAGAACUAAAACCGGCGCCCAUAUGGGAUACUGGCACUGCAGGUGGAGUAUUAACCUCUGUACCACAGGUUUUCAUGAGAAGGGUUUUCCCUAAGUGCUUUGUAAAUGUCCUCUGGACUUGGCAGGGGCCUGGUUUGUGCCCAGCCCCCAGACUCACGGGGUGAAACCCUCAGCCUCAAUGCCAUGGCAGUCAGAGACAGGGCCCUCGCAGGAUUGGCGCCCUUAUAAGAAGGAACACCACAGGUGCACAAGCUCCAGCCCCGUCCCGUCCCCCCGUUGUGUGACUUGGCCUCCCCGGGCAGCUGCUGGGAGUGCCAGAGCCUUGGCAGGAGGGCUGGAGCAGCACUCAGCCCUGCCGGCUGGCCCUGACACAGGGACUCCUCAGUCUGUGACCACCACACCACCAGCAGGCAGCUUUGAGGGCAGGGGUCACUGAGGCCACUCGGGCCAGGAGGCCAGGCAGGGGGCUGAGCCUAACGGCUCUGGGUGGAUGGAGAACAAGGCCUGUCCUCCUUCCCAGUGUGUGCUCCGGGGUGCAGGGGUCUCUGUUCACUCCCUUCCUGUCCCUGGUGCUCAAACAGGGCCCACCCCAGGUGGGAGCCUUGAGUGUCAAGGGACUGGGUAGACACCUGUCCCUUUGGGUGCUGCGGCACUGUGUUUCUGUGUAGUUCAGGCUUUCAGAAUGAAUGUUCCUAAGACCUGGGACCCACUGAAGAGCACACUGGUCACUUCCAAACGCCUGCAACAACCAGGGCUGGGCCAAGCCAAAGCCCAGAGCCAGGAGCUCCUUCCAGGCCUCCCACGUGAGAAGCAGAGGCCCCGGCGGCACUUGGGCCAUCUUCCGCUGCUUUCCCAGGUGCACUAGCAGGGAGCUGGCCCUAAAGCGAGCAGCGGGGACUCAAACCAGUGCUUUGAUGUGGAAUGCAGGCAUCCCAGGCAGCGGCUUAGCCCACCGUGUCACGACCAGCCCCCUUAUUUGUUUUUGAAGUGAAAAAUGAGCAUCCUUCUGAUCUGGAUUGCCUUAUGUGCGCACGCAGUAUAAAGCUGAUAAAGAUGGAUUUUAGAACUCCCACAGGUGCCCAGCGUCUGAACAGCCUGCCUGCGCUGUGGGAAUCCCCAACAGGGGAAACAGAAGGGAGGCUUUGGAGGAAAUGGACGGCCCUCCUGCCCUGCCCAGCCACUCACAGGUGGGCACAUGGGCUGAGCAGAGCCGGUGAGCGCCUCCUCGGGGGCGUCAUCCGAGAUGCGCGGUCACUGGAGAGUGCUGAGGACAGGGGUCAGGCCUCCUACUGCCAGGCAGCCGGUGUCCGUGGGGCGAUGCAGAGAAGGGUCUGCUUCCCAGGCAGGACUGUGGCUGGGCCUGGCCCCUUUCACUCUCUGUCCAAAUCCUGCUGCAGAGCCGGCUCAAGCCCAGGAACUUCCUGAUGUCCUUCUGACAGAUUCUUUCUCCCCUUGGGUUCGUGAGAACCGGUUUCUGAGCCAGACCUGCCCAGCUGAAGUUAAUUCCUCUGUGGAAUGGCUGUGACGAAAAGCUCAAAGCAGCUCAAACCAGUUGACAGCAGGUCCCCUCUCCAGGGGAGACAAACAGCAGCCCCAGGCUAGGGCAGGUCCCGCCUCUGGAGCGCCCAGGUGUGGCGGGUGCUGGUGGGUGACCUUCUUUCAGGGUCAGGCGCAAGCUGUGUGUCUGCCUGCUGGAGAUCAGAUUCCCACCCUCACAGAUCGCCAACGGGGCCUUCCCCACUCCCUCCUCCUCUCUGCACCCACCCUGAGGGUCCCCCUCCUCACCCAGCACCUUCACACCUCUGCCUCUGCUCAGGGGGGCUCCCUGGGAGCCAUCCCCCCUCUUUGCCUAAUGGGACCGCAGGUGGGAAAGGCGUGAGCCACCUCCACCUCCAGAGCUGACUUCCCUCCUCCCACCCCCGCUCCUGCCCCGUGUUCUGUUUCAUUGCUUUUUGUGCUGAUUGUGCACACCAUCGCUUCUGUGUCCUGAGAGAUUGUUUCAAAGGUUUAUUUACUUAUGUACUUGAAAGGCAGAGUGACAGACAAAGAGGGAGAGACAGAGACAUUCUAGCUGCUGGUUCACUCCCCCAGAUGGCACUGGGCCAGGCGGAAGCCAGGAGCUUCAUCUGGGUCUCCCAUGCAGGUGCAGGGGCCCAAGCACUUUCCCAGGCACAUUAGCAGGGAGCUGGAUCGGAAGUGGAACAGCUGGGACUCCAGCCAGUGCCCUGACAUGGAAUGCUGGAGUCAUAGGCCACGACUUGAACCUAUCCACCGAGCCACUACGCUGACCCCUCAAUAGUUUUAUUGAGCUACAAGUUCGCUGCACUUUUGGCAGCUACACAGUAAGCACUUACUGGGCUCCUACUGAUGGCCAAUAAGGAUUGGAUGAUUGAAUACGUGAAUGAACUCAGCUAAGUCUUCUCAACUGAUAGAUGAGGAAGCUAGGGACCAGAGAAAGAAGUCAUUCACUUGUUCCAACCGUAGAACAAGUAGGUGGUAGAGCAGGGAUUUGAACUCAAGUCUGCCUGCAUCCAGAGUCCCGGACAUCUUCAUUUUCCAUUUGCCUUCACUAUGAGCAUCAUCAUCAGUGUGGUCACCAACAUUGUCCCCACGGCUACACCACCACACCAUCAUCAUAACCACCAGGAUCAGCGGCAACACUGCCAACAAGCAGCACCACCAGCCUCAACAUCACCACCACCUCGACGGCGGGUUAGCUCUCCCCACCCCCACCUCACCACCACACUGCACCAUCACUACCGCCUCCUCUCCUUCCCCAGCGCCAUCACAACCACAGCCAUCACCGCUGCCAUCAUCACCGUCAGCACCAGCACGGUCAUCACCACCAUCGUCGCCACUGCCAACCUCCCCAGCCUCGCCGCCAGCUUCACCACCACCACCUGCUCACUGCUCCCAACACUUGCAUUACUGCCACCGCUCCUGUCACCACCACCACUGUCCCCACAGCCAUCGUCGUUGCUGCCGGACCUCAAGUUUUAUUCGAAGAAUUUAGAAUGCAAAUAGAAUGCUCUUCACUUUUAGACUCCUGUUCAGUUGUUAAAGAAAUCAGAUUUCCCGGUAGUAAGCCCCCCAGACCUGUCCCUGUAACCUUGAUGGAGGCCAUAUAUCACUGUACUUUGGAAAAAGUGAGUUUAAAGAUAUGUUUAUUUCAGCAGUAAAAAAAAUUGAAAUCUA